UUAUCCAUGCUUCCGCCUUAAGUGGUUUUGGCUCUCCAAUAAACUCCGGUGGUCCCAGCUCCUUGAACUGUUUAGCGGUGACCGUCCGAGAGUUUCCAGUGUUUCCACCUAUAUUUUGGACAGGAGCCGCUCUCGCCUGCUGUUGCAUGAAUUGCAUAAAGCCUCUGAACAUUCCAUCAUUCAUCAUUUGGUCAGUGUUGUUGUUUGCAUGAGGAUUGUCGCCUUCCUGAUGCACAUUAUCCUGAUUAUUGAUAUGUGGUGUAUCAACGGUCGC
This 274-nucleotide long non-coding RNA is filed under the name Panax ginseng (ginseng). RNAcentral's name for it is "long non-coding RNA (PGIN_LNC016377)". The record is from RNAcentral. Lineage: Eukaryota; Viridiplantae; Streptophyta; Magnoliopsida; Apiales; Araliaceae.